Molecule: ribosomal RNA, 508 nt
Filed under: uncultured bacterium
Lineage: Bacteria
Description: partial 16S ribosomal RNA
Rfam family: Bacterial small subunit ribosomal RNA
Source: RNAcentral
AUUGAACGCUGGCGGCAUGCCUUACACAUGCAAGUCGAACGGCAGCGGGGGAGAAGCUUGCUUUUCCUGCCGGCGAGUGGCGAACGGGUGAGUAAUACAUCGGAACGUGCCCUGUAGUGGGGGAUAACUAGUCGAAAGAUUAGCUAAUACCGCAUACGACCUGAGGGUGAAAGUGGGGGACCGCAAGGCCUCAUGCUAUAGGAGCGGCCGAUGUCUGAUUAGCUAGUUGGUGGGGUAAAGGCCUACCAAGGCGACGAUCAGUAGCUGGUCUGGGAGGACGAUCAGGGACAUUGGGAAUGAGACACGGCCCAGACUCCUACGGGAGGCAGCGGUGGGGAAUUUUGGACAAUGGGCGAAAGCCUGAUCCAGCAAUGCCGCGUGUGUGAAGAAGGCCUUCGGGUUGUAAAGCGCGUUUGUCCGGAAAGAAAUGGCUCUGGUUAAUACCUGGGGUCGAUGACGGUACCGGAGGAAUAAGGACCGGCUAACUACGUGCCAGCAGCCGCGGUAA